AUGGGAAGAACAUGUGUGUUUGUUCAUCAUGGGGACAAAGACGCCUUUUUGAAAGGCAAUAAAGAACCGGACCCGGAUGAGCUUGACAUUGUGUUUGAUAGUAGUCCUAGUUAUGCGGAGCUCUUGCAACAAGUUAGGAAAGAUUUGAAUUGGAUGGACCCUAGUGAUAUCAUUGAGUUGGAGGGAAGGCAUAAUGUUGGUUUUGGAAUGCACAUCCGUUGGAAGACAAUGCGUGUAAACUCGGAGCAACGUUGGGUUGCAUACAAGGAGACGGUGGCCGAAUCACUAGACAAGGCUCUUGAGUUAUUUGCAACGAAGAAGGUUGAGUCAAGUUUGCAUUUGGACUUGAACCGGAACCCCUCCCCUUUGGUUUCUAGUAGCCCCCCACCCUUGAAGCAAGAUGAAAUUGUUGAACCUCUUUUGACCCAAGAAGUGAGGCCAACAUUGAGCCCGUGUAGAAACAACCAAGAUGAAUCUUUGCAAGAGGACAACGAUGAGUAUGCGGACGAUGACAAUGAAGUUGAUCUCCAUGACAACAAUGUGGGUGAUCUCGACAAAUAUCAUUUGCAAGAGACAAUGGACCAUUCCAUCCCUUUUUCCCGUGCAUAUGCAUCGGACUCGGAUGACGAUGGUCCCGAUGAACAAGUUGAUGCGGAGGGGUUCACGGUGAAGGAGGCCGAAGCUUUCGAGAAGGUAUUUGGUCGGGAUCAUCGGACUACAUUGUUCAAGGAUGUUAGUCUCGCGGAUGAAGCCGUGGUAGAUGGUGGCCAAUGUGUAGCUCUUGGGGUUAGGCCAAGCUCUCACCGUGAUUUGGUAGACGACAAGAACCGGAUUGCUAAAGGUUCUAAGUUCGACAGCUUGUUGGAUUUGAAGAUGUGGCUCGACAACUACUCGGUUACGCAUUAUCGUCCACACAAGGUGGUGCACUCGGACGUCAAUGUGCGCUACACGGUUGCAUGUGCAUGUGAAGAUGAAAAGGAGGUCCAACUUGGACUUACAAGAGGCCGUGGUGGUGGUAGAGGUCGUGGAAAGGAGGUCCAACAAGGAGUGGCAAGACGCCGUGGCGGUUGUCCGUGGAUUGUGCGUGCAAGACCAUGGAAAGGAGGUCCUACUUGGCAUGUAGUGAGCUGUGUGCCAACUCACAUGUGCCAAGGCAAAAGGGUGGAUGGCAAGAUUGUGUCCCAAGACCACAAACAACUCACGUCUGAGUUCAUCGCUUACAGGCUCUCCAACUCAAUAUCCACACUUCCAACAAUGAGCGUCCAACAUGUCAUUGACCUUGUGAAAGCCAUCUUUCAUUACAAGGUGAAAUACGGCAAGGCAUGGAAGGCGAAGCAAGCCGCAUUUAAGAUGUUGUAUGGUACAUGGGAGGAAGCAUACAACCGAAUCCCUAGGUUGUUGUUAGCCAUGGCCGCGACAAACCCGGGCAUGGUUCAUGUGGUCGAGCCUCAUGGGCACCAAACAACGGUUCAUGAAGGAAGGAAAGUCAGAGUAUUUGGCCGUGCUUUUUGGGCGUUCGAGCAAUGUGUGAGGGCUUUCGAACAUUGUAGGCCGGUCAUCGCAAUUGAUGGCACGUUCUUGACCGGACAAUACAAGGGCACCUUUUUGGUUGCGAUAGCAAGUGAUGCCAAUAACCGGGUGUUGCCAUUGGCAUUUGCUUUGGUUGAGGUGGAAAACAAUGACAACUGGGAGUGGUUUCUGCAUCUUUUGAGGACGAAGGUGUUACCCGCUCAAAGGAAAAUUUGUGUCAUAUCGGAUCGGAAUCAAGGAAUUCUUAACGCCGUGGAGAUUGACAUUCCCGGGCAUGCUCCAUUGCACCAUCGCUGGUGCAUGAGGCACUUUUGUUCGAACUUCUAUAGGGCGUGUGGCCUUAAGGAGUUGGCCGAUGAUCUUCAAGAUUGUUGUCUCGCUUUCUCCGAUAAGCGCUUCGCCACUUUGUACAACAAAUUGCUCGCACACAAAAAACUUGAUCCCGGGGAUCAAGAGUUUCUCAAUAGGCACAUUCAAUACCGGAACAAGUGGGCACGUGCUUUUGAUGAAGAUGGCCGGAGAUACGGUCAAAUGACAAGCAAUAUGGCCGAAUGCUUCAAUAGGGUGCUCAAAGGUGCACGUGGAUUACCCGUGACGGCAAUAGUUCAAUACACAUUUGACAAGAUGAAUGCGUACUUUGUAAAGUACUCGAUGGAAACCGAUGCACAGAUAGCGGGUGAGAACCCACGGAAGUACAAGUACAAGUUCCCACCCAAAGUUGAUGAAUGGUUGCUAUUUCAAUCACGGAAGGCGGACUCAGAAGAAGCUAUAUUAUAUGACAAUGAGGAGUGGAAGUACGAAGUGAAAGAGCCAGGAGGAACCACAAACGAUGGCCGGCAACAUGGAGGUUGGGCUUUCAAAGUGUCGUUAACACAAUGUGAUUGCACUUGCGGGAGGCCAUUGUUGCUUCAUCUCCCAUGCUCACAUUUGUAUGCCGCCGGCCGCGUUAGGAAUGUGGACAUCAAUCACCCACGCUGGCCCAAUCCUUGA
RNAcentral lists this ribosomal RNA (2520 nucleotides) under Triticum aestivum (bread wheat). RNAcentral's name for it is "partial small subunit ribosomal RNA". Lineage: Eukaryota; Viridiplantae; Streptophyta; Magnoliopsida; Poales; Poaceae. The record is from RNAcentral.